GACGAACGCUGGCGGCGUGCUUAACACAUGCAAGUCGAACGGAAAGGCCCCUUUGGGGGUACUCGAGUGGCGAACGGGUGAGUAACACGUGCGUAACCUGCCCUUGACUUCGUGAUGACUUCAGGCAACUGGGGCUAAUACCGGAUAGGAAUCCUUGCUGCAUGGUGGGGGGUGGAAAGCUUCUGCGGUUUGGGGUGGACUCGCGGCUUGUCUGCUUGUUGGUGGGGUAGUGGCUUACCAAGGCAUUGACGGGUAGCCGGCCUGAGAGGGGGACCGGCCACAUUUGGACUGAGGUACGGCCCAGACUCCCACGGGAGGCAGCAGUGGGGAAAAUUGCACAAUGGGCGGGAGGCUGAUGGAGGAAAGCCGCGGGCGGGAGGACGGCCUUCGGGUUGGAAAACGGGUUCAGCAGGGGCGGAGCUGGUGGUGACGGUACCUGCAGAAGAAGCACCGGCUAACUACGUG
Molecule: ribosomal RNA, 465 nt
Filed under: uncultured bacterium
Lineage: Bacteria
Description: partial 16S ribosomal RNA
Rfam family: Bacterial small subunit ribosomal RNA
Source: RNAcentral